AGAGUUUGAUCCUGGCUCAGGAUGAACGCUGGCGGCGUGCUUAACACAUGCAAGUCGAACGGACCCAUAUUGAAACCUAGUGAUAUAUGGGUUAGUGGCGGACGGGUGAGUAACGCGUGGGUAACCUGCCUUACACAGGGGGAUAACACUUAGAAAUAGGUGCUAAAACCGCAUAAGCGCACAGCUUCGCAUGAAGCGGUGUGAAAAACUCCGGUGGUGUAAGAUGGACCCGCGUCUGAUUAGCUUGUUGGCGGGGUAACGGCCCACCAAGGCGACGAUCAGUAGCCGGCCUGAGAGGGCGGACGGCCACAUUGGGACUGAGACACGGCCCAGACUCCUACGGGAGGCAGCAGUGGGGAAUAUUGCACAAUGGGGGAAACCCUGAUGCAGCGACGCCGCGUGAGUGAAGAAGUAAUUCGUUACGUAAAGCUCUAUCAGCAGGGAAGAAAUACUGACCUUACGGUCAGCAGACGGUACCUGAGUAAGAAGCCCCGGCUAACUACGUG
This 506-nucleotide ribosomal RNA is filed under the name uncultured Eubacteriales bacterium. RNAcentral's name for it is "bacterial SSU rRNA". It matches the Rfam family "Bacterial small subunit ribosomal RNA", at positions 8 to 507 of the family's 1533-position model. The record is from RNAcentral. Lineage: Bacteria; Bacillati; Bacillota; Clostridia; Eubacteriales.